Molecule: ribosomal RNA, 478 nt
Filed under: uncultured bacterium
Lineage: Bacteria
Description: partial 16S ribosomal RNA
Rfam family: Bacterial small subunit ribosomal RNA
Source: RNAcentral
GACGAACGCUGGCGGCGUGCUUAACACAUGCAAGUCGAACGGUAAGGCCCUUCGGGGUACACGAGUGGCGAACGGGCGAGUAACACGUGGGUGAUCUGCCCUGCACUUCGGGAUAAGCCUGGGAAACUGGGUCUAAUACCGGAUAGGACUCCUGGCUUCAUGGUUGGGGGUGGAAAGCUUUUGUGGUGUGGGAUGGGCCCGCGGCCUAUCAGCUUGUUGGUGGGGUAAUGGCCUACCAAGGCGACGACGGGUAGCCGGCCUGAGAGGGUGACCGGUCACACUGGGACUGAGAUACGGCCCAGACUCCUACGGGAGGCAGCAGUGGGGAAUAUUGCACAAUGGGCGCAAGCCUGAUGCAGCGACGCCGCGUGAGGGAUGACGGCCUUCGGGUUGUAAACCUCUUUCAGCUAUGACGAAGCGCAAGUGACGGUAGUAGCAGAAGAAGGACCGGCCAACUACGUGCCAGCAGCCGCCGUAA